RNAcentral lists this ribosomal RNA (660 nucleotides) under uncultured bacterium. RNAcentral's name for it is "bacterial SSU rRNA". It matches the Rfam family "Bacterial small subunit ribosomal RNA", at positions 94 to 788 of the family's 1533-position model. The record is from RNAcentral.
AGUGGCGGACGGGUGAGUAACGCGUGAGAAUCUGCCUUGGGGUCGGGGACAACCACUGGAAACGGUGGCUAAUACCGGAUAAGCCGAUUGGUGAAAGAUUUAUUGCCCGAAGAGGAGCUCGCGUCUGAUUAGCUAGUUGGUGAGGUAAGAGCUCACCAAGGCAGCGAUCAGUAGCUGGUCUGAGAGUACGAUCAGCCACACUGGGACUGAGACACGGCCCAGACUCCUACGGGAGGCAGCAGUGGGGAAUUUUCCGCAAUGGGCGAAAGCCUGACGGAGCAAGACCGCGUGAGGGAGGAAGGCUCUUGGGUUGUAAACCUCUUUUCUCAGGGAAGAAGCUCUGACGGUACCUGAGGAAUCAGCCUCGGCUAACUCCGUGCCAGCAGCCGCGGUAAUACGGAGGAGGCAAGCGUUAUCCGGAAUUAUUGGGCGUAAAGCGUCCGCAGGUGGCGAUUCAAGUCUGCUGUCAAAGCACGGGGCUUAACUCCGUAAAGGCAGUGGAAACUGAAUAGCUAGAGUGCCGUAGGGGUAGAGGGAAUUCCCGGUGUAGCGGUGAAAUGCGUAGAGAUCGGGAAGAACAUCGGUGGCGAAAGCGCUCUACUGGACGGCAACUGACACUCAGGGACGAAAGCUAGGGGAGCGAAUGGGAUUAGAUACCCC